GACGAACGCUGGCGGCGCGCCUAACACAUGCAAGUCGAACGAGAGAGAGGAAGCUUGCUUCCUUAAUCGAGUGGCGAACGGGUGAGUAACGCGUGAGGAACCUGCCUCAAAGAGGGGGACAACAGUUGGAAACGACUGCUAAUACCGCAUAAGCCCACAGCUCGGCAUCGAGCAGAGGGAAAAGGAGUGAUCCGCUUUGAGAUGGCCUCGCGUCCGAUUAGCUAGUUGGUGAGGUAACGGCUCACCAAGGCAACGAUCGGUAGCCGACCUGAGAGGGUGAACGGCCACAAUGGGACUGAGACACGGCCCAU
Molecule: ribosomal RNA, 311 nt
Filed under: uncultured bacterium
Lineage: Bacteria
Description: bacterial SSU rRNA
Rfam family: Bacterial small subunit ribosomal RNA
Source: RNAcentral